RNAcentral lists this long non-coding RNA (1378 nucleotides) under Calidris pygmaea (Spoon-billed sandpiper). Its description in RNAcentral is "lncRNA (ENSCPGG00000009179.1)". Lineage: Eukaryota; Metazoa; Chordata; Aves; Charadriiformes; Scolopacidae. The record is from RNAcentral.
CCCAUCCCCGAAGUGCAGCGUUAGGAGGGUUCAGCCAUCACAACCCCUCUGGUGGGGACGGCUUUGGGGGGCUCACACCACCACGUGCUGGGGCAGGGGGGUGUCAUCUGGGUGGUCAGCAGGGGGGCAGGGCCUGGGCCGGGCCGUGCUGGUGGGGGGUGAGGAUGCGGCGUGGACCGGCACCGAGCUGCUCUCAUCUUCAACUUCCUUCCCAGCACCGAGCCCAUUUCCUCUGGUGUCACGUGCACCGUGUGGGGCCGUGGCAGCCCCGGGAGCCUGGCACCGCACUGCGCCCCACAGCUUCGUGGGCAGCCCCACACCAGCAGCUCCCGGACCCCCCGAGGAUGGAGCCGGCCAAGGUCCCCCCCAGCAAGAGGAUGGCUCCUGCUCCCCCCGUCCCUGCCAAGGCCAAACCGGCCCCCACCCUGGCCAGCAAGUAAGACACACGUGGCCCUGUCAGGGCACCUGGGGCCACUGUGAUGCCCCCAGCACCGUGGCCCUGCCCAUGUCCAUGCCUUGUCCCCAGAUGGGAGCUCCCCUCUGGGAGGGUUGAGCAUGGCCCGGCUCUGCCCUUUGACCACCUCUGCUGCCCCCCCAGACCUGGUGGCCCCCCACCCGGUGCCUCGGCCGACGCGGAGCUGGGCAGAGCCAGAGACACAGGUGGGUGCUGGGUGCAGGCACCGGGCGCUGCAGCCGCCGUGGGGCCGUGCCCUCUGCCGGCACCGGGCGCUGACGCUCUCUCUUUGGCAGAUGGUGACGGCUUCAACGUGGUGCCGGUCACCACGGCCAGGCUGAGCCACCCCACGGCCACACGCCCCCGGGUGCCGGGCCAGCGGCCGCCCAGCCUCGCCCUGGGGAGCGUGGGGGGUCCCUGCGGGGGGGAGCAGCCCUGGGGGCUCGGUGCCCCUCUCCCCGGCGCGGGCCAGGCUCCUGGCCCACCGUGGAGCACGGAGGUUCUGGUGGCACCGCGGGCAGGGGAGACGCUGGCCCUGGAGGACCUGAAGGCUGAGGUCCGGUCCCUGCACAUCCUCGUGGACCUGAUGCGAGUCCAGCACCUGCGGGACCUGGAGGAGAUGCGGCUGGAGAUGUGCCAGGAGCGAGCCAAGCGCCAGGCGCUGCAGGCGGAGAUCGAGCGGGUGAGGAAGGCGCUGCCCUGCUAACAGCGGCGGUGCCCACCCCUCCGGGCUGGUGGGUGGCACUUGGUGCUGGUGCUGUGCCCUGUGCCCCCCCCCAGCCCAGUUCUGCACCCAUUGGGCAGGAACCCUCACCCCCACACCCGGGCUUCGUGGUGUGGUGCAGACCCCAAGGGGGCACCCACCCUGGGCUUAUAGAUAUUGUUUAAAAUAAACUAUUUUGGGUACAGAGCGCUGCUGGGCUG